Anastrepha ludens (Mexican fruit fly) is the source of this 582-nucleotide long non-coding RNA. RefSeq lists it as uncharacterized. Lineage: Eukaryota; Metazoa; Arthropoda; Insecta; Diptera; Tephritidae. The record is from RefSeq and is a predicted model, not a curated record. The transcript has 3 exons.
UCGAUUGUCGGUUGCCUGCAUGUCGCCAGUCUACUUCAAUGCUUACUUGUGUGCUAUAUACAUUUCAGUUCAUAUUAUUUCGAAAUUAUUCGCUACAGGGUGUGCUAGAGACGUUUGGAUUUUUGCACUGGUUUAUCUUCUAGAAGAGAGAGCGACAGAGAGGGCGAAUAGGAGAGAGUGGGAAGGAGCAGCUGCUCCUUGGCCCCGCCCAUUUGACGGAUUUCGGUAACGCUCCGAACUUACCGUUUCACUCGCCUAUUUUCAAUCUGCCUUGGGGCCCCCGACGCGCCUAAAGAAGUUUCACUUCAAAAAAAAGAAUCGCGUUUAAUUCAGUGAAAAUCUGCAAGCGAAAAGAAAAACGCAUUUCACACCGCAAUAAAUAAAAAGCAAGAAAAGAAGAAAACAAUAAGGCAAAAAGCGGGCAUCUUUCUUUUGCUAAAUAUUUUGCUGAAGCUGAGGGGUGCAAAAGGAUGCAUCAAAGGAGUAAUGCAGCGCGUGUACUCAGAUGCCUUGAUGCUCAACUAUAAUUUUGAAGGGAAAGCCACUAAAUCGGCGCUUUUCGGACUCAAAAGUCUGGAACUU